AGCAGCCGCGGUAAUUCCAGCUCCAAUAGCGUAUAUUAAAGUUGUUGCAGUUAAAAAGCUCGUAGUUGAAUUUCGGGACUAACAGGUUGGUCGCGCCUUUGGUGUGUACUGGCCUAGUUGGUUUCUCCCUUCUGACGAACCACGAUGUCAUUAAUUUGGUGUCGUGGGAAAUCAGGACUGUUACUUUGAAAAAAU
Molecule: ribosomal RNA, 195 nt
Filed under: uncultured Glomus
Lineage: Eukaryota; Fungi; Glomeromycota; Glomeromycetes; Glomerales; Glomeraceae
Description: partial 18S ribosomal RNA
Rfam family: Eukaryotic small subunit ribosomal RNA
Source: RNAcentral